AUACUGUGGUGUAUAUGGUAUAUAUAUGGUAUAUAUAGCUCUCAGGGAUCAGGCUGUGUUAUUUGAAACAAUUCACUUCUUAUUCCCCUCUCCUUCUGCUUCCCAUUGCCAUGGAGCUUGGCCACCACCCCUCAUCCACAGCAGGAAGGCAUAACCUGAAUGCUUGAGCUGAUCGAGCAACCUGCUGUCCUCCCACCGUGCACUGCACUCUGGAGCCUGUUAGAUCCAUUCAUUGGCAAAGCAAAGCCCAGAAACUGGCCAAAAAAGGUUGAUUUUUCCUCUUCUCCUCCUUCUUCAUGAGCUGAGCUGGCCUGCAGAGACCCUGAUGAACACUGAAGCUAGUGUGGGGUAAGCAGGGUGGCUGGAAAUAGGGAAAAGAGGCAAGUAAGGGGUAUGUGUGUGGGGUUUUGUGUGUGUAUGAGGAUUACAGUCUCCCCCUUUUGACAGCUUCAAGCUGUGUGAAUGUUUCAGCUGCAUGGUGUAGCUUUACUCCAGGCUUACUCCUCUCCUUCACAAUGGCUUCUAGAAGCAACCGAGAGCAUUGAACAGAAGGCAGGGAGUCUAGCCUGUGCUAAACAAGUGUGGAGGGGAAAUCUUGUGUUUUUCUGGUCAGACUGGAAAGUUCCUGAUUUGAGUAGUUUCAGUCUUGGUCAUCACUGCCUAUUUAGACAGGUUUGGGGCAGCGUGGCCAUGCAUGACUGAGCAAGCCUGCUCAUCACAUAGAGCAACUGAGUGGAAGAACUGAGUCCUUAGACCAGACAGAGCAUUUCUCUGGUUGUCUUGAACCUGAAAUGGAGCUGGCUGCUAUCCUAGAAAUAUCUGAGAGUGCUGCAGACUGCCAUCGUUUGCUGCCACACGAGACUGAUAAUAACAGCUUUUAGUGGGAGUAUCUUUCCAGCUGACCAGAACUACAGGGCAGCAUUAGCAAUGGCCAAGGUUUAAGAGGCCAGUGGUCUGCUGGGUUUAGGGGUUCUUCCUGGGCUGUUCAGCAGAGCAUCUGCUAUGGUCUGAAAUAGCCAGAUGUGAUUGCAAAGGUGUUUGUAUACUCUCUGUAGCGUACAUACUCCUAUAGCUGCCUUUCCAUGUUAUCUGGCUGCCUGCAUGGAGUGGGUGGGCUGUUCUGUAACUGUUUUAUUGGUUGGUGGAAUGUCGUCAUCUGUGGGCAUUGCCCAACAUCUGCUGAGUUGAAGACAACUUAUACGUGGUCCUUAUACCCUAUCCUAUGUAUUAGUAUCAAGGUCAGGUCUUGCCCCAAUAGACCCUUCUGACCAUCUUCCACAUUUAUUUCUGUCUCUGUCCAGUUUCAUUGCUCCACAAACAGCACAUGUAGGAACAGAUCCAGCUUCAACCUGCAUUUAAAUGUUUUCACCCUGCUGCCAAGGGGCUGGAUGUGGCUUAGGAGGAAACUACACCCAGCAGGAAAGGACUGUGUUUCCAGGAACCAGCAGUUCUGCAUAACACAAGCGUUUGCAUCUGUGCUAUGGAAACAUUCAUCAGAGGAGCUGUGAUGAUUUUUGCACACUCUAGUUGUCCUCUCCAGCUGUCCUGUGAGGAAGCUAAGCAUUACUGUCCCUAAAUUGGCUGGUGUUGGGGUCUAUGCUCUGUGUAAAGCAGCUAAGCUGUAAACAAGGGAGCUUGCUCCAUUGUCUAUAAUAGGAUCUUAUCCAAGGGAAAACAGAGAUUGUCUUCAACAAUUUGAAGCUUGUGUAGGCAGACAAUACGCUGACUCUUGCCUGUGGGCAGCAUGAAGGAUGCCUCUACUUCAGACCAAGCAGCUGAGAGCCAACAUGAAUUCAAAGCAACACUGUAUGUGCAGCUGAGAGGAUGGAUCAGUCCCUGGGCAGCUGUGAUGUUGUGAAAGUGUACUGAAAGAAGAAUUUGGAUUACCAGGCUCUUUCUCCUAUCUUUAAUCUAUUGGAUUUGAAUGCGAGAGGCCAGGAUCUCCCCUCUAACUCCAAUAGUUUAAUAAGUAUUAAUAGUUUAAUAAGUCAGGCAUGCAAUUAACUAUUACCUACUGAAAAUAAUAGGAUAGUAGUGUGUGAAGUGUUGUAAGGUGCAACAAAUGAGCUUGCAACUAAUGUGAAUGUCCUUUGAUGGGAUGUCUGGCCUGAGUGUGGUAAUGCUGUUAGCAGCCUUUUUCCCCAAGAACGCUUAUAAAGGCAUGAAAAGCACAAGAUAAAAGGUGGCUUAAACCAAACCAUAAGAAACCAGCAUGAAAUAAAGUUAAAAUUAAAACACGAUGUGAUAAUAGUUUUUGAGAGAGUGAGUUGCACAGUUGACAGAAAAGGUCUGAGUAUAGCUGAACCUAACCUCUUGUAAGAACGGAGCACUGAGAACUCUUCACCUUGGUCACAAAGAUACCAUGACACAAGGCUGCACAACCCGGAGUUUCCUCUUCUGGCCACAUAAAUCUGCUGUCAU
Strigops habroptila (Kakapo) is the source of this 2421-nucleotide long non-coding RNA. RefSeq lists it as uncharacterized. The record is from RefSeq and is a predicted model, not a curated record. The transcript is spliced from 3 exons. NCBI's taxonomy places the organism in Eukaryota, Metazoa, Chordata, Aves, Psittaciformes, Psittacidae.